RNAcentral lists this ribosomal RNA (401 nucleotides) under uncultured soil bacterium. RNAcentral describes it as "bacterial SSU rRNA". It matches the Rfam family "Bacterial small subunit ribosomal RNA", at positions 26 to 423 of the family's 1533-position model. The record is from RNAcentral.
AGAUUGAACGCUGGCGGCAUGCCUUACACAUGCAAGUCGAACGGCAGCACAGUGGUAGCAAUACCAUGGGUGGCGAGUGGCGGACGGGUGAGGAAUACAUCGGAAUCUACCUUUUCGUGGGGGAUAACGUAGGGAAACUUACGCUAAUACCGCAUACGCCCUUCGGGGGAAAGCCGGGGAUCGCAAGACCUGGCGCGGAUAGAUGAGCCGAUGUCGGAUUAGCUAGUUGGUGAGGUAAUGGCUCACCAAGGCGACGAUCCGUAGCUGGUCUGAGAGGAUGAUCAGCCACACUGGAACUGAGACACGGUCCAGACUCCGUACGGGAGGCAGCAGUGGGGAAUAUUGGACAAUGGGCGCAAGCCUGAUCCAGCCAUACCGCGUGGUGAAGAAGGCCUUCGGUU